GAAAUGCGAUAAGUAAUGUGAAUUGCUGAAUUCAGUGAAUCAUCGAAUCUUUGAACGCACAUUGCGCCCGCCAGUAUUCUGGCGGGCAUGCCUGUUCGAGCGUCAUUUCAACCAUCAAGCCCCCGGCUUGUGUUGGGGACCUGCGGCUGCCCGCAGGCCCUGAAAAACAGUGGCGGGCUCGCUGUCACACCGAGCGUAGUAGCAUACAUUCUCGCUCAGGGCGUGCUGCGGGUUCCGGCCGUUAAACGACCUUCAUAACCCAAGGUUGACCUCGGAUCAGGUAGGAAGACCCGCUGAACUUAAGC
This 305-nucleotide unclassified non-coding RNA is filed under the name plant metagenome. RNAcentral describes it as "partial contains 5.8S ribosomal RNA, internal transcribed spacer 2, and large subunit ribosomal RNA". The stretch from base 1 to 105 matches the Rfam family "5.8S ribosomal RNA", at positions 50 to 154 of the family's 154-position model. The record is from RNAcentral.